GGGUUCACGGGAGAGAAGAAGGAAAAGGAAGAAAGGAAGAAAGGAAGAGAGAGAGAGAGGAAAGAAGAGAGAGAAAGAAGAGGAAGAGAGAAUAGAGGAAGAUGAGAGGAGAUAAUAGAGAGAGUUAUCUUUGUACUCCUAUUAUUUCAAAUUAUAAUGAAAGCGCCGCUGCUGCCCCGAGGACGUACUCCAGUCACACUGACUGUAGAGGAACCUCGUAAAUUUUGUGUCUUGUUUCAUUUAUUCCACUGCACCCACAGUCGAUUUUUUACAACACGUUAUCAGCACGAGAAGCUCUCAUGUCAGUGGAAAGCACAACGCCACAAAUCCCUGUUCACCUCCUUCAGCUGGAAUCUCACAGAUAAGAAACAAUUUUCAUUUCAUCUUCAAAUCUCAGUACAAUUGAUUUACUUGAAGCAACUAUAUAUAUUGUUGUAUGACUGUAUAUCAUCAUUUGCAGAAGCAAAAGAGUACAUACUCAAAAUUCGUAAAGAAUUUGACAGCCAUGUAAAUAGCCUCGGAACUCUAACUUGCGGACCUCGGAUUGAAAUACUUUCUUCUUGAAAGUUGUUCGUCUGCUCAGUAUCUACAAACAUAUCAAAAUUUCAGAAAAUGUUAACGGUGCGAUCGUGGCAGAUGUCUGAAAUACCAAACCAGUUUCCAAUUUCCGCAGAAAACUGGGCAGCCACCUUAUGAGUACCAAAACGCCAUUUCGAUAGCUCAAAUCGAAAUUGUUUUCUUCACGAAAGUUGUUUGGUAUCCUCUUAUCCAUAUCAUACUAAAUUUUGAAUUAAAACUAACGGUUAGAUCUUCUCAUAAGUUGCAGACACUCUUGACUCCAAAACUUAUGGGAACCGUUUCGACUUUUUCGAAACUCACCGGAGGAGGAACACCAAUUGGAACUAAUUGUUACUAUUAUUUACUGAGUAACCAAAAUGACUUCGAACUGUGAAAUAAUAAUAAAAAUAAAAGGGAUGAAACAAAAGAAGUGGCAGACCAAGAAAAUGAAAAAGCAAAACAUGAGGACUUAAUCAUUGUAUUUUCUGUUUUGGCAUAUUUAUGUGCAUGGUGUUGGUUAAAGCCCAUGUCACAAGUUCUAUUUAUUUAAAGCAAUUUAUUUAUAGUGGGUAGAAUUAUUACCCUUUGCUUUAAAGCUUUGAUAUUUAUGUGAAUGGUGCUGAAUCAAAGCCCUUGUCACAAGCUUUAUUUACUUUAAAGCAAUUUAUUUACCAUGGACGGUUUUACCGCCUAUUGCUUUAAGUUUUGAUGGUGCUGAAUUAAAGCCCUUGUCACAAACUUUAUUUACUUAAAUGCAAUUUAUUCAUUAUGGCUGGAAUUACCGUCUAUUGCUUUAAUUUAUUUAUUGUACUUAUCUUUUGUUACUAUGAGUAUAUACAGGACCUGAAGUUCCUUGAUCAGAUCAGAACCUGCAGUUUCUUGAUCCUCAUCAUAUAAAAUGAUUGGACCCGAAGUUCCAUCAUACAAAAGGAUCUGGCAUGAAGUCCAUUGAUCCUGAAGAUCAGGACAUGAUGAUCCUAGAUGAGUACCAUUAGUUUGAAGUGCCGCAGUGCCUUAACUUAAUUGUAAUAAAAGCCAUAAGAGUCUUAGUUUACAGACUAUUAAAUAAGGACCAGAAGUUCCUUAUGUCCAUACUCAAAAUGGUUUAGCAGAAGCCUUUAUUAAGCGAAUGAAAUUGAUUUCCCGCGCUCUGCUCAUGAAAACGAAAUUGCCAAUUUUCUACAUGGGGACAUGUAAACUUUACAUGAUGCAUUAUUAAUUCGGUUGAGACAUGUUACCGACCAUCAAUACUUCUCAGUACAACUCGGGUUUGGAACCAACCAAACAUUAUACAUUUACGAGUUUUUUGGUUGUGUUGUCUAUGUGCCUGUAAGACUGCCACAACGUACUGAAAUGAGGCAUCAUUGCAGAUUAGGCAUUGAUGUUGAACACCAUCUAUCAUUCAAUAUUUGGAAUUCUUGAUUGGGGAUAUGUUUACCGCAUGGUUUGCGGACUGUCAUUUUGAUAAGACAAUUUUCCUGCCAUUAGGGGGAGAAAAUAAUAUCGUUCCAGAAGAACGAUGAGAAAAUAUCAUUCCAAAAGAAUGAUGAGAAAAGACCGUUCCAGAAGAACGAAGAGAAUUUGUCUUAUUUUGAUUCACGAAGCAAUCAAUGAGAAAAUGAAAUAUGAAUAAUUGAAUGAUGCAACGAAAGUGAUGAAAUCAUAUAUACUUACUGCAAAUGUGCCUACAAGAAUUGAUGUCUCAGUUGGAUAAAAUAAUGAGACAGUAAAUGAUUUAUCUGUUGCACGCCUGAAGCAUGGCAGAUUUUUAGACUCAAAAGGUUCAGUUAUUCGAAAGAAGAAUAAUAUGGCACUACUGAACUAUUGCAUUCCCGAAGCAUAACUGUUGCAUGCCAGAAGCAUGACAGUCACCGCAUGGAUACACGUCCCAGAUAGGACAAUCCACAAACAUGGGAAUGUUGAUGUCUCAUACACGAAGCAUAAUAGACAUAUAGGUUCCAAUGACUCAACUCCCGGAAGUGGAGAUUAAAAUCCAAGCUCUAUAACACUCAAGAGGAGGUUAUGAUCCACAUUCUCUCAAUUAUGACUAUCCUGAAGAGAUAGCGUCAUGCCCUUGAAGAGGCAAUGGAUAUCCAAAGAAAUGAAAAGCUUUUAUGCAUGCGCAUGCACAUGAGAAUAUGGGAUCACGGAUUGAUGAUAACCAAUGGUAAUUUUGGUUUUUACAAGUAGCUACUAAAUUCAUCAAUGAGCUGUGUUAAUAUUGAGUCACGUUCUUUUGUUCGUCGACAAAAGAAAAAUUAUUGGCCAAAAUGGAGAAAGGCAAUUCCAUUACAAAUUUUGUAAGAACGUGGGCAAAUGAACCUAUAUAUAUUUGAAUACAAUACAAAUAGCCAAAGAAUGUUAAACCAAGGAGGUUAUAUAUGGGCAUUUGUAAUAUAGUGUAAUACACUUACAUGAUAUGACACAAAGUUGUAAACGAGUUCAUAUGAAUGGAGAAUUAUAUACGAAGGGUUGUGAGUCGCCCACAUUAUAUUUCCAUAAGUAAAUCCCUCAAGUAUACAUGGGAGCAAAUUGCUCUGUAUAAAUUCCAAAGGAAAAUGUGUCAUGAAGUGUAGAAAACCCUUGAAGGAUUCAAAUUGCUUGAAGUAAGCCUCUGAAGGGUAAAACAUAAAAUAUGUACUCAAUACCAAUGGAUGAUAUAAAUUGCCUUAGUGAGUACUAUCAUUAUGAUAUUGUUGCAACGUACUAAAAUCUCUUGCAAGAAUCAAUAACAUUAAAUUAUAACUCUUGAAGAGUUGAUGAUAUUAAAUUGGGACUCCUGAAGAGUCUAGAAAAAAUUAUAAAGUGUUGAAGGAAUUAUUGUCUCGAGCUGCAGAUCGAACAAUCUACCAACACGAAUCUUAUCCAUGAUAUUUAUGAUAUUAAAAGAACCAUAUGGAUUGAAGAUUAUGAGUUGAAUACUCAUAUGAUGAAGACACUAAGAAUAAUCAUUUAUCUUCGUGAGGGUAAAGAUAAAUUAAUAUUUGGUCCAGAAGUACCACAUCUUAGUGAAGUAUAUGCUUUAUUGUAUUUGGCACAAUACAUUGAAUGAAAUAAAGCUUAUUUAUUAAUAUCUCCAAGAAAUUACAGAUAUAUACAUACACAUGAGUUAAAAUAAACAAACAGGAUGGAGCCUUCACAAAGGUUGCUCAUGUGAAGCCUCAGUACUCGGAAGUACCCCAGAAGGGGGAGGCACUGGAGAUUGAUCAUGUGGCACCCCAGUACUUAGCAAAACACCAGAAGGGGAAGGCAUCAGUUGCUUUCGGAAUCUAGCAACGAACCUCUGGUGAUCACUUUGAAUCCGACUUUCGGAUUCCUGCAGUUGGACGAGCUUUCUUUUCAUGCUCGUAGAGUAACUAUUUGCAAGCACGUGUUAACACCCUAUUCUCGUGCUUGAGCCCUCUGAUCUCUUGUUUAAGACUUGUCAUCUCUGCCAUCAAUGAUUUAAUUUGGCGAGUUUGAGCAAGUAAGCGUUGGCCCAUAUUGGACACAGAGCCAGCACACUGAACACUAAGAGCCAAGGAGUCUUGAACGGCCGACUCUUCAGACCGUUCUGAAAGGAUCUUGUUAUCCCUUGGAGUGAGAAGAUUCCUAGCUACCACAGUAGCGGUUAUGUUAUUCUUCAUCAUAGAGUCCCCAACCGUAAGAGGACCAUUAGAAGAUAAGAAGGACGGGCGCCAUAUAUUAUCUUGACGCUGCUCGUCUGUAUCACUCCUAAGACUCAAAUCUAAGCAAAUGUUAGAUGGGCAAGUCAUUUUUCAGAAAUGAUGAAGGAAAAAUAGAGGUCAAAUAAAAUUUCAGAAGUGCAAGAAGGUGGAAAUUUCUCAAGUAGCAACUUUCUGAACAUACUCUUGAACGCAAUUGAUGUCUCUAUAAAAGAAGAGGCAACAUAGCCGCUUGUUCAAAGAUCGAAGCGACACGGCUCUCCGAAUUUCAAAAAGCCAGAUUUUCCUGAAUAAAGUUCGUUGUCAUUUUUCAGACGUAAUCUCAGCUUUUCAGAUAUCGCGUGCAACUUUGUCAAAGAUCUCUGACAAAGUUGAAAACGCGUAAAUCUUACUGUUCUAUUUACACCACAGUUGCUGACAAGAGUAAAAGCACAGCACCACCACUUGCUAUUGAGAAAUCUCUAUAUAUGUCGACCUCUGUUCUCCAUAACAAGGCAGACCCGCAACACUGCAAGAAUACCUAACUCUUCCUCAUCUCCGAGAAUGCAUCUUCAACAUAGCAUUUCGAAAUACUCAGUUUUCUUCCUCUCCGAGAAUACCUCUUCAAACAUGUCACACCAGAGCAAGAUUAUCACAUAUCUUCAGGGACCAGAGCAAGAUUAUCUCAUAUCAUGCAAUCUCCCUGUCAUUUCCUUGUCCUUGUUCUUGCCUGCAAAGACAAGGAUAAAGAAAGCAAUAUGUCGGAACCUCCACUCAAACUCCCGGUAAGGAACCGACUGCCUGGAACCUUUCCCGAUUGCUUACCAAGUAUUGCUCUCGAGUAGUCAUCUUCAAUUGUUGUUGGAGCGGGGUCUCCAGUCACCAAGAAGAAGUGAUGAACCAUUCAAAUGCAAGGGUUUGCAUUCCUCUCCUGCAUCAGGGGACAAAUCCUACAAGAGAAGAUGCCACACAUGCAUGGGGGAAAAGCAAGGAAAAUACUACUUAAGCAAGGGGAGCAAGUAAGGAAAGUGAAAAUGAUACAUUGAAGCAUGUGGAGACAAGCGCAACAAACGCGUGUUGAUUCAUCCCUAACAAAACUGAAGAUCACUUGCCACAUGAAGCUCCUCAUGGUCCAAUUUCAUUCAAGAUCAAUCCUCGAAGGUCCUUGAAGAAAUCACAAGUCCGAUUCAAGAUCAAGUGUCCACCACUUUUGAAUCAAAUUCCGCUCCAGAUAAAAGGAGUAAAUUCAGAUCUUCGAUACUAGUCUAGCAGAAAGUCCUACAACUCAGUUCAAGAAAAAGCCUGUGGAAAGUUAACAACAAGUAAAGCAACUCUUCUUACUAAGAGACUAAAGCAGAACGAUCAACGAUCAACCUAAAUGAUUUGAAAUCAGGGGGAGAUACUCAUCAGGGGGAGCAUCCAAAACAGAUCAAGAUUUUAACGAGUCAAUCGAAGACUUGUGGCCAUCCAAGGGGGAGUGUUGUAAAUAUUAUGUGGAUGGCCCACAUGAAUAGUUUGUUACUAUUUAUUCACAUUAUUUUCACUAUUCAUUUGUGGAAAAUUUGUAAGGUGAAUAGUGUCCUCUUUGAUUAUAAAAUGAAUGAGAGGAAGAGGAAGAAAUGGGUUCACGGGAGAGAAGAAGGAAAAGGAAGAAAGGAAGAAAGGAAGAGAGAGAGAGAGGAAAGAAGAGAGAGAAAGAAGAGGAAGAGAGAAUAGAGGAAGAUGAGAGGAGAUAAUAGAGAGAGUUAUCUUUGUACUCCUAUUAUUUCAAAUUAUAAUGAAAGCGCCGCUGCUGCCCCGAGGACGUACUCCAGUCACACUGACUGUAGAGGAACCUCGUAAAUUUUGUGUCUUGUUUCAUUUAUUCCACUGCACCCACAGUCGAUUUUACAACACCCAUGACUUUGAAAUAUCACCAUUUUUCAUAAAUUUAUGGCAAUUUGAUGAUGAUGAUAAUAAUAAAUAAUAAUAAUAAUAAUAAUAACAACAACUAUAUGCAUAAAUAGGACAUAAAUCUUCUUCAUGUGAUCAAUUGAUUUGAAUCAAAGGAAUGCAAAUAUAAAAGUAAAUUGUGACAUUACGGGCUCGUUUGGGCUAAACCUCAUAAUAGGCUAGCAAUAAUGUGGUUCAAAUUCGCCUUUGCCGAGAAUCGAACCUAAAACUUCUCACUUACAAAUGAAGAGAAAGACUACUAGAUCAUAGUACUAAGUGACAACAAAUGUGAAUUUUAAAUUACAUAAGAUUUGAUUUUCCUCAAUCCUCACUUGAAUGAGUAUAUGCUCUAAUUGAGCAACAGAAUAUGCUACAAAAUUCUCUUCAUGAAAUAGCUACUUUGGAGUCACCAUAAAUAUUUUGAAUUUUCUUAUUGAUAUUUAGAUAGCUGGGACAACUGAAAGCGAAACUUCAUGAAAGCCCAAAAUAUCACAACCAAAGGUUGCCCAACAAGCAUUUUGACUUCCCUUUGUAGAUCCAUCAAAAUACAGCUUCAAAGUACUAUCGUAGGGUUGGUGGGAGCUCUUUUCACAGACGCAGGUUACACCAGUUGACCGACCGACGUGGUCAAAUCCUUGCACUCAAGUUCGAAUUUCCCUCCUCGUAAAUUAGAGUAGUUUAGUGUAUAGUUCGAAUCCCCCUCAUACAAAUCCUUUAGCAAAACUUUACAAUUCCUUGCUCCCGAAU
Molecule: long non-coding RNA, 6881 nt
Filed under: Malus domestica (apple)
Lineage: Eukaryota; Viridiplantae; Streptophyta; Magnoliopsida; Rosales; Rosaceae
Description: long non-coding RNA (MDOM_LNC009903)
Source: RNAcentral